UGUACACGGGUGAGCGGCAGACGGGUGAGUAACGCGUGGGAACGUACCUUUUGGUUCGGAAUAGCCCUUGGAAACGAGGAGUAAUGCCGAAUAAGCCCUACGGGGGAAAGAUUUAUCGCCGAAAGAUCGGCCCGCGUUAGAUUAGCUUGUUGGUGAGGUAAUGGCUCACCAAGGCGACGAUCUAUAGCUGGUCUGAGAGGAUGAUCAGCCACACUGGGACUGAGACACGGCCCAGACUCCUACGGGAGGCAGCAGUGGGGAAUCUUGGACAAUGGGCGAAAGCCUGAUCCAGCCAUUCCGCGUGGAUGAUGAAGGCCUUAGGGUUGUAAAAUCCUUUCAGCAGGGAAGAUAAUGACGGUACCUGCAGAAGAAGCCCCGGCUAACUCCGUGCCAGCAGCCGCGGUAAUACGGAGGGGGCUAGCGUUGUUCGGAAUUACUGGGCGUAAAGCGCACGUAGGCGGAUCAGUCAGUCAGAGGUGAAAUCCCGGAGCUCAACUUCGGAACUGCCUUUGAUACUGCUGAUCUGGAGUUCAUGAGAGGUGUGUGGAAUUCCGAGUGUAGAGGUGAAAUUCGUAGAUAUUCGGAGGAACACCAGAGGCGAAGGCGACACACUGGCAUGAUACUGACGCUGAGGUGCGAAAGCGUGGGGA
RNAcentral lists this ribosomal RNA (650 nucleotides) under uncultured bacterium. RNAcentral describes it as "bacterial SSU rRNA". It matches the Rfam family "Bacterial small subunit ribosomal RNA", at positions 82 to 767 of the family's 1533-position model. The record is from RNAcentral.